GACGAACGCUGGCGGCGUGCUUAACACAUGCAAGUCGAACGGAGCGCCCUGGAUAGAGACUUCGGUCAAUUGAAAGGGUUGCUUAGUGGCGGACUGGUGAGUAACGCGUGAAGAACCUGCCUUCCAGAGGGGGACAACAGUUGGAAACGACUGCUAAUACCGCAUGACACAUGAUCGGGGCAUCCCGGACAUGUCAAAGAUUUAUCGCUGGAAGAUGGCUUCGCGUCUGAUUAGCUAGUUGGCGGGGUAACGGCCCACCAAGGCGACGAUCAGUAGCCGGACUGAGAGGUUGAUCGGCCACAUUGGGACUGAGAUACGGCCCAGACUCCUACGGGAGGCAGCAGUGGGGAAUAUUGGGCAAUGGACGCAAGUCUGACCCAGCAACGCCGCGUGAAGGAAGAAAGGCUUUCGGUUGUAAACUUCUUUAAGAGGAAGAGUAGAAGACGGUACCGUCUUGAAUAAGCCACGGCUAACUACGU
Molecule: ribosomal RNA, 479 nt
Filed under: uncultured bacterium
Lineage: Bacteria
Description: bacterial SSU rRNA
Rfam family: Bacterial small subunit ribosomal RNA
Source: RNAcentral